Molecule: ribosomal RNA, 253 nt
Filed under: uncultured bacterium
Lineage: Bacteria
Description: partial 16S ribosomal RNA
Rfam family: Bacterial small subunit ribosomal RNA
Source: RNAcentral
UACGGAGGGUGCAAGCGUUAUCCGGAUUCACUGGGUUUAAAGGGUGCGUAGGCGGGCAUUUAAGUCAGUGGUGAAAUACCUGAGCUUAACUUGGGAACUGCCAUUGAUACUAUUUGUCUUGAAUGUCGUGGAGGUUAGCGGAAUAUGUCAUGUAGCGGUGAAAUGCUUAGAUAUGACAUAGAACACCUUUUGCGAAGGCAGCUAACUACGCGAAUAUUGACGCUGAGGUGCGAAAGCGUGGGGAGCAAACAGG